Non-coding RNA from Pelobates cultripes (western spadefoot toad), 288 nucleotides. NCBI's taxonomy places the organism in Eukaryota, Metazoa, Chordata, Amphibia, Anura, Pelobatidae. The record is from the annotation of a GenBank genome assembly.
CAAUUACAAUUUAUUAAAUCACAAGUUAUGUAACAAUACAAAGUGCACUUAACAGAAUAUCCAAUGAAAUAACAUCUGACAAAAUGCAUUUCGCUUGUUCAGCUUCUUCAGUCAGCCAGGGUGCCAGGGUUUUUAAAUGUUCAUCCAGAUCAGGCUUUUCCUUAGCAGAACAUGCUACUGGUAGAACAUUAGAAUGGAGCCUAUAAAUGACAAAAAAAAAAUGGCCGUGCUGAGAAGAGUAAUAAAUAGCAUUAUUACAUGCAAAUCCAGUCCAUGGGAGCAGGUCUG